RNAcentral lists this ribosomal RNA (465 nucleotides) under uncultured bacterium. RNAcentral describes it as "partial 16S ribosomal RNA". It matches the Rfam family "Bacterial small subunit ribosomal RNA", at positions 28 to 507 of the family's 1533-position model. The record is from RNAcentral.
GACGAACGCUGGCGGCGUGCUUAACACAUGCAAGUCGAACGGAAAGGCCCUGCUUGCAGGGUACUCGAGUGGCGAACGGGUGAGUAACACGUGGGUGAUCUGCCCUGCACUUCGGGAUAAGCCUGGGAAACUGGGUCUAAUACCGGAUAGGAGCCAUUUUUAGUGUGAUGGUUGGAAAGUUUUUUCGGUGUAGGAUGAGCUCGCGGCCUAUCAGCUUGUUGGUGGGGUAAUGGCCUACCAAGGCGGCAACGGGUAGCCGGCCUGAGAGGGUGGACGGCCACAUUGGGACUGCGAUACGGCCCAGACUCCUACGGGAGGCAGCAGUGGGGAAUAUUGCACAAUGGGCGCAAGCCUGAUGCAGCGACGCCGCGUGGGGGAUGACGGCCUUCGGGUUGUAAACUCCUUUCGCUAGGGACGAAGCUUUUUGUGACGGUACCUAGAGAAGAAGCACCGGCUAACUACGUG